CAUAUCAAUAAGCGGAGGAAAAGAAACCAACAGGGAUUGCCUUAGUAACGGCGAGUGAAGCGGCAACAGCUCAAAUUUGAAAGCUGGUUCCUUCGGGGCCCGCGUUGUAAUUUGUAGAGGAUGCUUCGGGCGCGGUGCCGGUCUAAGUUCUUUGGAACAAGACGUCAUGGAGGGUGAGAAUCCCGUAUGUGACUGGUUGCCUGUGCCCAUGUGUAGCUCCUUCGACGAGUCGAGUUGUUUGGGAAUGCAGCUCAAAAUGGGAGGUGUAUUUCUUCUAAAGCUAAAUACUGGCCAGAGACCGAUAGCGCACAAGUAGAGUGAUCGAAAGAUGAAAAGCACUUUGGAAAGAGAGUUAAACAGUACGUGAAAUUGUUGAAAGGGAAGCGCUUGCAAUCAGACUUGCGCGGCGUCGUUCCGCCGGGGUUCUCUCCGGUGUACUCGGCGCCGCUCAGGCCAGCAUCAGUUUCGGCGGUGGGAUAAAGGCCUGGGGAACGUGGGUUGCUUCGGCGACCGUUAUAGCCCUGGGCGCAAUGCCGCCUGCCGGGACUGAGGACCGCGCUUCGGCUAGGAUGCUGGCGUAAUGGUUGUAAGCGGCCCGUCUUGAAACACGGACCAAGGAGUCUACCAUCUAUGCGAGUGUUUGGGUGCCAAACCCAUGCGCGUAAUGAAAGUGAACGGAGGUGAGAACCCUCAAGGGUGCAUCAUCGACCGAUCCUGAUGUCUUCGGAUGGAUUUGAGUAAGAGCAUAGCUGUUGGGACCCGAAAGAUGGUGAACUAUGCCUGAAUAGGGUGAAGCCAGGGGAAACCCUGGUGGAGGCUCGCAGAGGUUCUGACGUGCAAAUCGAUCUUCAAAUUUGGGUAUAGGGGCGAAAGACUAAUCGAACCAUCUAGUAGCUGGUUCACGCCGAAGUUUCCCUCAGGAUAGCAGUGUUGUAUUCAGUUUUAUGAGGUAAAGCGAAUGAUUAGAGGCCUUGGGGUUGAAACAACCUUAACCUAUUCUCAAACUUUAAAUAUGUAAGAAGUCCUUGUUGCUUAAUUGAACGUGGACAUUCGAAUGUACCAACACUAGUGGGCCAUUUUUGGUAAGCAGAACUGGCGAUGCGGGAUGAACCGAACGUGAAGUUAAGGUGCCGGAAUGUACGCUCAUCAGACACCACAAAAGGUGUUAGUUCAUCCAGACAGCAGGACGGUGGCCAUGGAAGUCGGAAUCCGCUAAGGAAUGUGUAACAACUCACCUGCCGAAUGAACUAGCCCUGAAAAUGGAUGGCGCUUAAGCGUACUACCCAUACUUCACCGCCAAGGUAGAAACGAUGCCCUGGCGAGUAGGCGUGCGUGGGGGGUCAGUGACGAAGCCUUGGGCGUGAGCCCGG
RNAcentral lists this ribosomal RNA (1370 nucleotides) under Pseudographis elatina. RNAcentral's name for it is "partial large subunit ribosomal RNA". It matches the Rfam family "Eukaryotic large subunit ribosomal RNA", at positions 39 to 1426 of the family's 3401-position model. The record is from RNAcentral. Lineage: Eukaryota; Fungi; Ascomycota; Leotiomycetes; Triblidiales; Triblidiaceae.